GCCUUUCAUAACUGGAAGAACAACUAAAACUCCACUCUUCGUACACUUUUUUUUUUUUUAAGUUUGCCUAUAAAUAGAGACAAUGUUGCCACUCUUCCUCAUUCACCAAUUCCCUUAGUAGUAGAUUUCAGUAGCUGUUCACAUUUCCGCUACUAACAGUAGGAAAUUUCCUCUUCUUUCUUUCCGAUUUCUUCUCUCCACCUUGAUCUUCUCUUAACCUUGCAGUAGAUUAUCUUCUCCAUAUAUAUUUUAGAGAUAGAACUAUGUCACUUCACUCUUUCUCUUUUUGUUUGUUUUAGCUUCAACGCCGGAAUGUCGUCGGCGACGAACUUACAAUGCCUUGCUUUUAUUUGAUGUUCAGCUCUUUUCCGGCGAAGUUACUACCGUAACGGAGUAGAGGUUCGAGCUCGGAGCUGCUACGGUGUUGGUGAUGGAAAGGCGUAAGCUUUGGGUCGGCGAAGGAACAAUGUCAGCAGCGACGUGACCGUGCUUCAUCAAGGUAAAACUCCUUUGUAGUUUCUCUUAUAUUGUUUUCGAGCUUUUAAAUUGUGUAUAGCGUGCUCCUUUCAACUGCUUCGCAUGCCUUCAUUUUGUCUUCGCAUUGCCCAUUUGAGCUGCACUUUGGAGUAGCUGCCUCAAUCUCUUUCGUGUAUCCCUUCUUUUGCUGAGUAUAUUUAGUUCCUAAAUUUUAGUUCUAAAUUGCCCAGACGCCGAUUUUAGCUAGCUCCAUUUCUUGUAUUGUUCUUCCCAAACUCAGUGGCUACUUUCUUAACUCCACAGCUAUUGUCCUCUACGAGAAAAGCGCAGAAUCUGGCGGAUACAACAAAGCACAAGCUCGUGGUUUGGGUGACUAACAUGGUGGAGUUAGUUGCUUUGAUCGCAUCGAGCGUGGAGAGAAGCGGCAGUGAGAGCGGAGACCGCUGCUACUAAUGGCGGGAGAUGGAGACGGCUUCUUGCCGGAUUUCAGGAACCACUAGGCACGAGGGUGCAGCGGUUGCUGUGUUGGAGGAAAGCAAAAGUGCAGACUCUUUUUUCAUUUUUACAUGGCUUCUUCGCUGGAUUGAUUUCGGGGCUCUUUUUAUAAGCGGAAGGUCGUUGAGAGAAGCAGCGGCGGCUUGCGGCAAUCGCCUGCUUCCUCGUAGUGGGCUGCAGCAACCAGAACCGGCUUGGAGCGCGGAAGAAUGGAGUGGGUCAGCUUGUUAGAUCUUGGAGAGCUUCUUGCGUCUUCAGACCAUGCCGGAGGGAGGUAGUUGCUUUGCUGCAGCAGCGUCGAGCGUGGAGAGAAGGCAGCGGCUUCUUACUGAUGAUGGUGGUGAGCGUCUGUUCGCAGACCUCGCUUAUCCAGACGCGGACGUGGGGUUGAACGGCGGUGUUAGUGGCUCCUUAUUCU
RNAcentral lists this long non-coding RNA (1390 nucleotides) under Salvia miltiorrhiza (redroot sage). RNAcentral describes it as "long non-coding RNA (SMIL_LNC012379)". Lineage: Eukaryota; Viridiplantae; Streptophyta; Magnoliopsida; Lamiales; Lamiaceae. The record is from RNAcentral.